CGAAAACCUUACCUACCCUUGACAUGUCUGGAACCUUGGUGAGAGCCGAGGGUGCCUUCGGGAGCCAGAACACAGGUGCUGCAUGGCUGUCGUCAGCUCGUGUCGUGAGAUGUUGGGUUAAGUCCCGCAACGAGCGCAACCCUUGUCACUAGUUGCCAUCAUUUGGUUGGGCACUCUAGUGAGACUGCCGGUGACAAACCGGAGGAAGGUGGGGAUGACGUCAAGUCCUCAUGGCCCUUAUAGGUGGGGCUACACACGUCAUACAAUGGCCGGUACAGAGGGUAGCCAACCCGCGAGGGGGAGCCAAUCCCACAAAGCCGGUCGUAGUCCGGAUCGCAGUCUGCAACUCGACUGCGUGAAGUCGGAAUCGCUAGUAAUCGCGGAUCAGCAUGUCGCGGUGAAUACGUUCCCGGGUCUU
RNAcentral lists this ribosomal RNA (418 nucleotides) under uncultured Thauera sp. RNAcentral's name for it is "bacterial SSU rRNA". It matches the Rfam family "Bacterial small subunit ribosomal RNA", at positions 963 to 1382 of the family's 1533-position model. Lineage: Bacteria; Pseudomonadati; Pseudomonadota; Betaproteobacteria; Rhodocyclales; Zoogloeaceae. The record is from RNAcentral.